RNAcentral lists this transfer RNA (84 nucleotides) under Flavihumibacter soli. RNAcentral describes it as "tRNA-Leu". Lineage: Bacteria; Pseudomonadati; Bacteroidota; Chitinophagia; Chitinophagales; Chitinophagaceae. The record is from RNAcentral. RNAcentral also lists the same sequence under 1 other name.
GCCCGGGUGGCGAAAUUGGCAGACGCACCACUUUGAGGGGGUGGCGCUCGAAAGGGCGUGGCAGUUCGAAUCUGCUCCCGGGCA